GAUGUCAAGACGGCCGCCACACACGCCCAAAGACA
Molecule: transfer RNA, 35 nt
Filed under: Lagonosticta sanguinodorsalis
Lineage: Eukaryota; Metazoa; Chordata; Aves; Passeriformes; Estrildidae
Description: partial tRNA-Phe
Source: RNAcentral